This 489-nucleotide ribosomal RNA is filed under the name uncultured bacterium. Its description in RNAcentral is "partial 16S ribosomal RNA". It matches the Rfam family "Bacterial small subunit ribosomal RNA", at positions 28 to 523 of the family's 1533-position model. The record is from RNAcentral.
GACGAACGCUGGCGGCGUGCUUAACACAUGCAAGUCGAGCGGAAAGGCCCUUUCGGGGGUACUCGAGCGGCGAACGGGUGAGUAACACGUGAGUAAUCUGCCCUUGGCUUUGGGAUAACCACCGGAAACGGUGGCUAAUACCGGAUAUGACGCGCCCCGGCAUCGGGGUGUGUGGAAAGUUUUUUCGGCCAGGGAUGUGCUCGCGGCCUAACAGCUUGUUGGUGGGGUAAUGGCCUACCAAGGCUUCGACGGGUAGCCGGCCUGGGAGGGUGACCGGCCACACUGGGACUGAGACACGGCCCAGACUCCUACGGGAGGCAGCAGUGGGGAAUAUUGGACAAUGGGCGGAAGCCUGAUCCAGCAACGCCGCGUGAGGGAUGACGGCCUUCGGGUUGUAAACCUCUUUCAGUACCGACGAAGCGCCGAUGAUGGUGGUAACGGUAGGUACAGAAGAAGCACCGGCCAACUACGUGCCAGCCGCCGCUGUAA